CGACCACUUCUAUUCAUCAUCAACCCGGGCCAAGAGCCGGGAUGAGCUUCCUUCCAGAUGGUCGAUCUUCCUCUUCGCAGCUGAUAGUUCCACCUUAAGGGCGCUAAUCCUGGCUUCUUGAACCCAAAUUCGGUCGCUGGUGCUCUUCUUGCAUUCCUCGAGCUCCUUUGUGAAGUUCGCCUUCCUCCGGCUGUAAUCCAUGAUUGCCUUCACUUGGAGACUCCUAAAGUGGGCGGCCUCAGCGGCGGCUUCGGAAUGGCAUUCUCUCGACUUGCGGAGCUUGCCUUCUGACUUCUUCAACUUCUUCGUUAGGUGGAGGACCUCCUUUUUCAGCCGCUGGAUAGUUGAUUUCAGCGGGACCCCCAGGGGCAAGGGGAGUGCUUCAGCAGGGCACUGCCAUUGGAAGGUGCAAGCGUCAAAGAUCGACUCAUUACAAGAAAAAAAGCAGAAAGGAGGAGGAGAGGGAA
RNAcentral lists this long non-coding RNA (467 nucleotides) under Elaeis guineensis (African oil palm). RNAcentral's name for it is "long non-coding RNA (EGUI_LNC068456)". Lineage: Eukaryota; Viridiplantae; Streptophyta; Magnoliopsida; Arecales; Arecaceae. The record is from RNAcentral.